UACGAAGGGGACUAGCGUUGUUCGGAAUUACUGGGCGUAAAGCGCACGUAGGCGGAUUUGUAAGUCAGGGGUGAAAUCCCGGGGCUCAACCUCGGAACUGCCUUUGAUACUGCAAAUCUCGAGUCCAUAGAGGUGGGUGGAAUUCCUAGUGUAGAGGUGAAAUUCGUAGAUAUUAGGAAGAACACCGUGGGCGAAGGCGGCCCACUGGAUCGGUACUGACGCUGAGGUGCGAAAGCGUGGGGGAUCAAAACAGG
This 254-nucleotide ribosomal RNA is filed under the name uncultured bacterium. RNAcentral's name for it is "partial 16S ribosomal RNA". It matches the Rfam family "Bacterial small subunit ribosomal RNA", at positions 524 to 776 of the family's 1533-position model. The record is from RNAcentral.